GUUAUAGGAUCAAGCGACUAAGUGCAUAUGGUGGAUGCCUUGGCGAUCACAGGCGAUGAAGGACGUAGUAGCCUGCGAAAAGCUACGGGGAGCUGGCAAACAAGCUUUGAUCCGUAGAUGUCCGAAUGGGGGAAACCCACUGCGCAAGCAGUAUCCCUGGCUGAAUACAUAGGCCAGUGGAGGCGAACCGGGUGAACUGAAACAUCUCAGUAGCUCGAGGAAAAGAAAUCAACCGAGAUUCCGAAAGUAGUGGCGAGCGAAAUCGGAAGAGCCUUUACGUUUUAGCACGCAAGAUAGUCGAACGGAAUGGAAAGUCCGGCCGUAGCAGGUGAUAGCCCUGUAGGCGAAAUCUUGUGUGUGGAACUAAGCGUAAGAAAAGUAGGGCGGGACACGUGAAAUCCUGUUUGAAGAUGGGGGGACCAUCCUCCAAGGCUAAAUACUCGUG
This 445-nucleotide ribosomal RNA is filed under the name Achromobacter xylosoxidans. RNAcentral describes it as "bacterial LSU rRNA". It matches the Rfam family "Bacterial large subunit ribosomal RNA", at positions 1 to 478 of the family's 2925-position model. Lineage: Bacteria; Pseudomonadati; Pseudomonadota; Betaproteobacteria; Burkholderiales; Alcaligenaceae. The record is from RNAcentral.